AGAACGCUGGCGGCGUGCUAAUCAUGCAAGUCGAGCGGACGGAACGGAGCUUGCUCCGGGAAGUUAGCGGCGGACGGGUGAGUAACACGUGGGCAAUCUGCCUGACAGACUGGGAUAACGCUUGGAAACGAGUGCUAAUACCAGAUAGGCUUCGAGGUCGCAUGACCUUGAAGGGAAAGAAGCUAUCGCUUCACUGUCGGAUGAGCCCGCGGCGCAUUAGCUAGUUGGUGAGGUAACGGCUCACCAAGGCGACGAUGCGUAGCCGACCUGAGAGGGUGACCGGCCACACUGGGACUGAGACACGGCCCAGACUCCUACGGGAGGCAGCAGUAGGGAAUCUUCCACAAUGGGCGCAAGCCUGAUGGAGCAACGCCGCGUGAAUGAUGAAGGCCUUCGGGUUGUAAAAUUCUGUCUUCUGUGAAGAACCAGCAUGAGAGUGGAAAGCUCAUGCCUUGACGGUAACAGAGGAGGAAGCCCCGGCUAACUACGUGCCAGCAGCCGCGGUAAUACGUAGGGGG
RNAcentral lists this ribosomal RNA (518 nucleotides) under uncultured Caryophanales bacterium. Its description in RNAcentral is "bacterial SSU rRNA". It matches the Rfam family "Bacterial small subunit ribosomal RNA", at positions 31 to 534 of the family's 1533-position model. Lineage: Bacteria; Bacillati; Bacillota; Bacilli; Caryophanales. The record is from RNAcentral.